CCUACGGGAGGCAGCAGUGGGGAAUAUUGGGCAAUGGGCGCAAGCCUGACCCAGCAACGCCGCGUGAAGGAAGAAGGCUUUCGGGUUGUAAACUUCUUUUAAUAGGGAAGAGCAGAAGACGGUACCUCUUUACUAAUCCACGGCUAACUACGUGCCAGCAGCCGCGGUAAUACGUAGGUGGCAAGCGUUGUCCGGAUUUACUGGGUGUAAAGGGCGUGCAGCCGGGAAGACAAGUCAGAUGUGAAAUCCCGGGGCUCAACCGCGGAACUGCAUUUGAAACUGUUUUUCUGGAGUACAGGAGAGGUCAUCGGAAUUCCUUGUGUAGCGGUGAAAUGCGUAGAUAUAAGGAAGAACACCAGUGGCGAAGGCGGAUGACUGGACGGCAACUGACGGUGAGGCGCGAAAGCGUGGGGAGCAAACAGGAUUAGAUACCCCAGUAGUC
This 442-nucleotide ribosomal RNA is filed under the name uncultured bacterium. RNAcentral's name for it is "partial 16S ribosomal RNA". It matches the Rfam family "Bacterial small subunit ribosomal RNA", at positions 338 to 795 of the family's 1533-position model. The record is from RNAcentral.